UACUCUACUUCCUUAAUCAUAAUAGGCAAUUUGUCAUAGAUUUGGGGAUGAUGGGCUGGAGGAAAUAGUGGAGGAAUUCAUGAAAUUAGGGUGAGAAGGGACUAUAGAGGAAUAUCAAGAUGGAUUUGAAGAUUUGAGGAUAAGGAUGGAAGAUUACUGCUAGAUUUGGAGGAAUCUUAUUUCUUGUCAGGGUUUAUUGGGGGAUUGAAGGAUGAAAUAAGGUUGAUGAAGCCAGUGACUCUUGCUCAGGUUGUGGAGAUUGUGUUACAUAAUAGUCUGCACACUUAGUGAAAUAGAGGA
This 300-nucleotide unclassified non-coding RNA is filed under the name Hevea brasiliensis (rubber tree). The record is from RNAcentral. Lineage: Eukaryota; Viridiplantae; Streptophyta; Magnoliopsida; Malpighiales; Euphorbiaceae.